GAUGAACGCUGGCGGCGUGCCUAAUACAUGCAAGUCGAGCGAACAGACGAGGAGCUUGCUCCUCUGAGGUUAGCGGCGGACGGGUGAGUAACACGUGGAUAACCUACCUAUAAGACUGGGAUAACUUCGGGAAACCGGAGCUAAUACCGGAUAAUAUAUUGAACCGCAUGGUUCAAUAGUGAAAGACGGUUUUGCUGUCACUUAUAGAUGGAUCCGCGCCGCAUUAGCUAGUUGGUAAGGUAACGGCUUACCAAGGCGACGAUGCGUAGCUGACCUGAGAGGGUGAUCGGCCACACUGGAACUGAGACACGGUCCAGACUCCUACGGGAGGCAGCAGUAGGGAAUCUUCCGCAAUGGGCGAAAGCCUGACGGAGCAACGCCGCGUGAGUGAUGAAGGUCUUCGGAUCGUAAAACUCUGUUAUUAGGGAAGAACAAAUGUGUAAGUAACUAUGCACGUCUUGACGGUACCUAAUCAGAAAGCCACGGCUAACUACGUG
Molecule: ribosomal RNA, 497 nt
Filed under: uncultured bacterium
Lineage: Bacteria
Description: partial 16S ribosomal RNA
Rfam family: Bacterial small subunit ribosomal RNA
Source: RNAcentral